This 31-nucleotide non-coding RNA is filed under the name Homo sapiens (human). Lineage: Eukaryota; Metazoa; Chordata; Mammalia; Primates; Hominidae. The record is from RNAcentral.
UCCCAGACCACAUCUCAGGUUGACGUGCCUU